AACACUUCAUGACUCAGAGCUGCUGCUACAGCAACUUCACCCACAGCUACCAUGACUUUGAUCCCCGUCUUCAUCUGGUCACUGAUCUUCUGGACUCAAGAAUGCAGAGGUCAAGCCACAGUAACUCAGACUCCUGCAGUGAAAUCUGCUCUUCCAGGAGAAACAGUCACCAUCAACUGUAGAACCAGUCAGGCAGUGUACACAGACUCACAUGGUGACCGCUUAAACUGGUAUCAGCAGAAACCUGGAGAAGCUCCUAAACUACUGAUUAAACUUGUAAAUCAGUUACAGUCAGGUUUUCCAGCUCGUUUCAGUGGCAGUGGAUCUGGGUCUGAUUUCACUCUGACCAUCAGUGGAGUUCAGACUGAAGAUGCAGGAGAUUACUACUGUCAGAGUUACCAUUCCAUCACUGGCUACUGGUUCACACAGUGUUAUAGAGUCGUACAAAAACCUCCCUCAGUCAGAUUGUAGAGAGACUGCACUGCUGCAGCUGGGAGCGACUGCAGGUGCUGAGUUGGAGGAUGUGAUAAGACACAAUGACACUCUGUGGAGGAGAGGAACCACACCACACUAACUCACAACUCACAUUAGAUAUCUCUCAAUAAUCAUCACACCACACUGCACACAGUCCAUCAUAUGUACUACUUUUUAGUUUUCUACACAGUCAUGGUGCUAACUGUCACAACUGAAAAAAUAACAGCUUUACAAAUAACAAAUCAGUAUCUGAUUAUCAAACUCAUUCCUGUUCUAUCUGUUAUCGCUCCACUCAUUUUUACUCCUUCCAUCUGAGUUUAUUUGCUGUCCCUCAAUCUGCUCUCCUAUUAAGAAACAGUCAUCAUCAACUGUAGAACCAGUCAGGCAGUGUACAAGGGCUCAUCUGGUGUAGAGUUACACUCGUAUCAGCAGAAACCUGGAGAAGCUCCUAAACUACUGUUUAAAUAUGUAAACCAGUUACAGUCAGGUGUUCCAGCUCGUUUCAGUGGCAGUGGAUCUGGAUCUGAUUUCACUCUGACCAUCAGUGGAGUCCAGACUGAAGAUGCAGGAGAUUACUACUGUCAGAGUUACCAUUACAUCACUGGCUACUGGUUCACACAGUGUUACAGAAGUGACACUUACGGAAAGUUACCUGCUCCCUGGAUUUGUUUCACCUGGAACACAUGAACCUAUUUUAAACAACAAAGAUGUUAGUGUUUCUCCUCA
Molecule: non-coding RNA, 1200 nt
Organism: Pangasianodon hypophthalmus (striped catfish)
Lineage: Eukaryota; Metazoa; Chordata; Actinopteri; Siluriformes; Pangasiidae
Source: the annotation of a RefSeq genome assembly